CAAUAGCGUAUAUUAAAGUUGUUGCGGUUAAAAAGCUCGUAGUUGGAUUUCUGCCGAGGACGACCGGUCCGCCCUCUGGGUGAGUAUCUGGCUUGGCCUGGGCAUCUUCUUGGAGAACGUAGCUGCACUUGACUGUGUGGUGCGGUAUCCAGGACUUUUACUUUGAGGAAAUUAGAGUGUUUCAGGCAGGCUAGGCCGGAAUACAUUAGCAUGGAAUAAUGGAAUAGGACUACGGUCUCUUUGUUGGUUUGAGGGACUGCAGUAAUGAUUAAUAGGGAUAGUUGGGGCAUUAGUAUUUAAUUGUCAGAGGUGAAAUUCUCAGAUUUGUUAAAGACUAACUUAUGCGAAAGCAUUUGCCAAGGAUGUUUUCAUUAAUCAAGAACGAAA
Molecule: ribosomal RNA, 387 nt
Filed under: uncultured eukaryote
Lineage: Eukaryota
Description: SSU rRNA
Rfam family: Eukaryotic small subunit ribosomal RNA
Source: RNAcentral